This is a non-coding RNA of Paramuricea clavata, 828 nucleotides long. The record is from the annotation of a GenBank genome assembly. NCBI's taxonomy places the organism in Eukaryota, Metazoa, Cnidaria, Anthozoa, Malacalcyonacea, Plexauridae.
CGGUGAUUGCUAGAUAGUAUACUUCAAAAUAAGGUUUCCGUUUUUAUAACGUAGAAAAAACUAUCCUACGGCAAAACUAAACCCUAACCCUAAUACUAAACCUAACCCUAACCCCAACCUAACCCUAACCUAAACCCUAACCUAACCCUAUCUUAUUUUAAAAAUAGAAUAAAAACGGAAAUCUUAUUUUGAAGUAUACUAUCUAGCAAUUGCCUUUGAGGGAUUGUGAAAUCGUGACUCGAAAACUUGAAAAAACACUCGAAAACUUGCAAAUGUGCUCGAAAACCUAAAAAUUCGUCGAAUAUGGAAGAAAUCGUGGAUGUUUUGGACGAUAGCGGUGCUUUGCUGUACAUGGGAAGUGUUUUGUCUGAAUCGUGCGAGGAAUUAGAGAUAUUAAUGGAAUAUUUAUCUCUUGAAGACGAUGAUGGUGAGUGUUGACAUUUUAUAGCAAUAUGCCUUUGACCCUUCGACUGUAAAAAUAUAUCAGUAUAUAGGCGAGAUUUUGAUUAGGUUUUCGUGUUUUAUACUGUUUCAUAAAAGUGAUUGUACCUUUACAAGUUACAACUUCGUAAAAGCUGGGUAAAUGCUCUAUAAUACGGAUUAUUUUUAUUUAAUUCUGCAGAAUAAUUUCCACGCGCUAUUUUAAAUAUAUACGCCAAUUAACAUGUCAACAAAUAUAAAACUGAACCGACCUCGUCUAACCGUUUUGCCAAAAACGAAUAUAUUUUAUGUUGGUCUUAAGAGUUAAGUUACUCUUUGUUUUUGCCAAAUGUGUAAGACUUUUCACUUUUGCUUAAAAUAGCAAUAUGUGAAAUAUGCAUGCUGAAU